Molecule: transfer RNA, 57 nt
Filed under: Bos taurus (domestic cattle)
Lineage: Eukaryota; Metazoa; Chordata; Mammalia; Artiodactyla; Bovidae
Also listed under: 4 other names
Rfam family: tRNA
About the family: Transfer RNA (tRNA) molecules are approximately 80 nucleotides in length. Their secondary structure includes four short double-helical elements and three loops (D, anti-codon, and T loops). Further hydrogen bonds mediate the characteristic L-shaped molecular structure. tRNAs have two regions of fundamental functional importance: the anti-codon, which is responsible for specific mRNA codon recognition, and the 3' end, to which the tRNAs corresponding amino acid is attached (by aminoacyl-tRNA synthetases). tRNAs cope with the degeneracy of the genetic code in two manners: having more than one tRNA (with a specific anti-codon) for a particular amino acid; and 'wobble' base-pairing, i.e. permitting non-standard base-pairing at the 3rd anti-codon position.
Source: Rfam by way of RNAcentral
UGGCUAAGAUGGUAAAGAAUCUGCCUGCAAUGCAGAAGACCCAGGUUCAAUUCCUGG